CCUACGGGAGGCAGCAGUGAGGAAUAUUGGUCAAUGGGCGAGAGCCUGAACCAGCCAAGUCGCGUGAGGGAGUACUGCCCUAUGGGUUGUAAACCUCUUUUGUCGGGGAGCAACAGCCGGACGUGUCCGGCUGUGAGAGUACCCGAAGAAAAAGCAUCGGCUAACUCCGUGCCAGCAGCCGCGGUAAUACGGAGGAUGCGAGCGUUAUCCGGAUUUAUUGGGUUUGAAGGGUGCGCAGGCGGAGUUUUAAGUCAGCGGUAAAAUCGUGGGGCUCAACCCCAUCCAGCCGUUGAAACUGGGGAUCUAGAGUGUGCGAGAGGUAUGCGGAAUGCGUGGUGUAGCGGUGAAAUGCAUAGAUAUAACGCAGAACCCCGAUUGCGAAGGCAGCAUACCGGUGCACAACUGACGCUCAGGCACGAAAGCGUGGGUAUCGAACAGGAUUAGAUACCCGUGUAGUC
Molecule: ribosomal RNA, 458 nt
Filed under: uncultured bacterium
Lineage: Bacteria
Description: partial 16S ribosomal RNA
Rfam family: Bacterial small subunit ribosomal RNA
Source: RNAcentral